GGUCCGGGGGUUCUGUGGGCGUCGCGCUGCCGCGCCCCUCACUAGGGACGUGAUCAUUCCUUCUGUGAUCCAGCAGCAGCUGAAGUAUUCCUGAAAGGAAACCGGUUGAACAUACAUGUAUUCCAGCAGACAGGCUUGUGGCUAGCAGGAAGGACUGGCUGACUGGAACUGGAACCAGUGAAAAAUCUGUUUCAGUCAUUGAAAACUGAGGAUACUGGAAAAUACAAUGUUUCAGUCAUCGCAGAUUGAAGAUACUGGAAAAUAUGUAAAAAUAGAUUCAUUUAUUAAAAGCACAUUUAUUUUGUUUUCUCACUUUUUCCUAUUAUAAUUGCAAAACCUUCUGAAAGUUGUCGUUCAGCAAAACUGUGAAGUAUAUCUAGGUACAGUAAAUGAAUUAUGCAAAUCAUUUUAUUGAAAGAACAUGCAUAUUCAUGUAUACAUAUUAUUUGCCUGGUCUUCCUAUUACACGUGCAACCUGUAGUAAAAUCCUAGUUUGUUAAAGCAAAGAAAUGCUCUAGAGACUCCAGAUUACUGACUGAUAUGGUAGAAAUCUGUCAUGUUUGUGUAGGGCACAUGGAGCUUGAAUAUAUUAAUAUGAAUAAAUAUUAAAAUGUUAAACAUUAUUUUUCAUGGGUUUAGGUUG
Molecule: long non-coding RNA, 643 nt
Organism: Grus americana (Whooping crane)
Lineage: Eukaryota; Metazoa; Chordata; Aves; Gruiformes; Gruidae
Exons: 3
Source: RefSeq, a predicted model, not a curated record